Xyrichtys novacula (pearly razorfish) is the source of this 3350-nucleotide non-coding RNA. NCBI's taxonomy places the organism in Eukaryota, Metazoa, Chordata, Actinopteri, Labriformes, Labridae. The record is from the annotation of a GenBank genome assembly.
GAAGGUCGCACAGGUUUCUAAACUCGGACAGGGGGGACAAGAAAUUGAAAGCCUGGAUUGGGGGAGGCGGCUGGCACAGCCAGACUGUGAAUGGACAGGAGAUGGAAGAGGGAAGUGACGGGUUAGGAAAUGAUGGGAUGGAGUUAGGUGGGGGGAGAAAUGAAAGUUGGAAUGUUGUGUAAGGGGGAAAGGCUAAUCGCAAACGCAAGAAUAAUAGGGGACAGAGAGGAUUGGGCACAGCGUCUGAGGAAACAGAUAGCGAGCAAGCAAGAGAGGACGAGGAAGAGCACAAAGUAAUCAUUAGGUUGGAGCAAGAAGGCGCCUCGUUUGGAGAGUGGAAUCCUGUACACCUUACUAAAGCAAUAAAUAAACAAGUGGGCGAUGUGAAAAGUGCGAGUGUUGUGCAAUGGAGCACUGCUGAUUUUUUGUAGAGAUAGCGCGCAGUUGGGGAGAGUCAUCAGGGUGGAUAAAAUUGAGGGGAAGAAGGUGGUAGUGUAGCGAUUUGAAAUGAGCCUCACAAGGCCGCACCAAAAUAAUACUGUAGCGAUUGGAAUUUAUAAUAAAUGUCUGAAGAUUAAUAAUCUCAAAUUAUGACAUUUAUGCACUCGUAUCUGGUAUACUCGUAUACUCGUAUACAUGCAAUAAAUGAUGAUAAGAUAAUGAAGAUAAAUAAUAAUAGGUGAAUAAAUAAAGAUUCUGAGUCAGGCUAGGAGCACUAAAGUUAAUGAUAGUGAGUGAAUAUGCGCUAACAUAUUAACCUACACUAAAUUUGGUGUCGAGAUAAACUCGGUUGUGGAUUUGGAGGAAUCUAAGAUUACCAGAAUAAGAGGAUAUCUGAGUUAUGAACGCACGAGACAGCAUCAGCCCUCUUUAGAGCUCUGGAGGUUUGCAUACUUAAGUGAGACUGGUCCUUGGAGAAGAUGGAGCAGGUUCCGAAGGUCCGGGGCUACUGGCGGUUCGAGCGGUUCAGCUCAGAAGAUGACUGAAGUCAGCAGAAGGAUGAGCCAGGAGUUGCAGCACUCGGGCCCGAAGCAAAGCCAGCGCCUAUGGAUCCUGUGGAUGCUCGUUUGGGUACUUCUUUGGUCUCACUCAAAAACUCUGGCACAGAGGAUGACCUGGGCCUGCUGGGUUGCGUUCAGAGGUGACUUUGAAAAUCACGCAGAUAACUCAGAAAAACGAGACUCGAGCAGAGAAAACUUUCAAAAAUGGCUUCGCGAAAUUAAAGAAAAAUCAAUCAAAGGCUUAAUCUUGAAUUGCUAUGCGCACAAAAAGUUGAAGUUUCAAAACUUGAACUAAGACGAUGUUAAAGAAAAAUCAACGUGAAUCAACACGUGGCGUAAAACUUAGAAGACUAAGAAAAAGUUCUAAGAGAGAACAAAGAAGAAGAGGACCACAGAAGGGUGUGGACAGAAGAGAAGGGCCCAAGAGUAAGGGGCCUAAAGCCGCGUUCAGACCAAACGCGACCAGGUCGCGUCGCGUCGCGUUGGUCGGUCAGGUCACGUCGCGUGGUGCCCUGGUGUGUCAACACCGGGUCCAAAGCUGCAGUCGCGGAGGUCGCGGCUGGUCGCCGAUGACGUCAUCACGUUAACGUCAGUAGCUCAGUUUUCAGUGCGACCAGUGUUGAAGAUGGACGACAUCGUGACCUGUGCUGCCGCAUACCUUCAUGUCCGACAUAGACGCCGCCGGCCUGUAUGGGUGCAUGAAACCAUCCGGAGGAGGACGGAGCUGGGUGAAUAUCACCGUUUGCUCCAGGAGCUCCGCCUCGACGAUGGCCGUUUCCAGCGGUAUUUCCGUUUGUCGACGGCGCAGUUUGAGGACCUCCUCGCCCGGGUGGGAAGCAGCAUCUCCCGCCAGGACACCAACUACAGGCGCUCCAUUCCAGCUUCGGAGCGCCUGUCUAUCUGUCUGCGGUGAGUAUAAUCAAGUAUAAUUAAUUUAAAAUGAGCAGAUACACUGGGCAAAUAAGGCAAAACUGCAACGUUUAUCAGCUUUCUGUACACUGAGUUCCUCCUGUGAGCUGCUCUUUGCCUCUGUCCUUUAAUAUCCAGUCAAAAUAAAACUUCUCUUGCACACACUAAUGUGAUUUAGAAAUUCUGUGAAUCUGAUCAAUUUACUAAAGACAGAUAAUAUAACUCCUGUGAAAAUAAUCCUAUCUGAUCAGACUGAUAAGGUGCUGCUGAAGAAGUAAACAGGAUUGGUCUGUGUCCUUUAUUUGAUCCACUCAGUAAAGUAAGAAGUUACACUGAAAAAAAUUAACCCUUAACACAUUCAAUACAUACUGUAAAAAAAUUACCUGGAAAUCAAUUACUUUAAAAUGACCAGAUACACUGGGUGCUAGCAUAAAUGUUUGUGUCAAAGAGGAUUUAUGGACACUCAAAUCUUCGGUUACGUUUCUAUUUCAUAUGGCCUCAUAUUUUAAAUAAAAUUUGUAAUGAAAUUAAUUUUUAUGUGCUUUAGGUUCCUGGCUACUGGAGACUCCUUCAGGACCAUCGCAUACAGCUUCCGGGUUGGAGUUUCCACCGUGUCGGGCAUCGUGGCAGACACCGUGUUGUGCUUGGUGGAGGACUUCAUGGCUGUGCCCACCUGUGAUGAGUGGAGAUCCAUAGCACAGGGUUUUGAGGAGCGGUGGAACUUCCCCUUGUGUUGUGGUGCAGUGGAUGGGAAGCACGUGGUUCUGAAGGCUCCUGCCAAUUCAGGAUCACAGUUCUAUAACUACAAGGGAACAUUUUCUAUUGUUCUCUUGGCAGUUGUAGAUGCCAAUUAUUGCUUCCGAGUGAUCGAUGUCAGAGGCUUCGGGAGGACCAGUGACGGGGGGAUUCUGGCCAACUCUGCGUUUGGUCAGGCCCUACGUUCUGGCUCCCUCCAGCUGCCUCCAGAUCGGUCACUGCCUGAAGCUGAACACAGGGGACCCCAACCUCAUGUGUUUGUUGCAGAUGAGGCCUUCCCGCUCCGGAGAAACCUCAUGAGGCCGUAUCCAGGGCGCAUCCUCCCCAGAGAGAAGCGCAUUUUCAACUACCGGCUGUCCAGGGCGCGGCUGGUGGUUGAAGAUGCCUUCGGCAUUCUUUCCACUCAGUGGAGGAUGUACCGACGUGCCCUUGAGGUUUCUCCAGAUGUUGCAGAGAAGUGUGUGAAGGCCACCUGUGUCCUUCAUAACUUCCUGCGAAGGUCUCAGCCUGAAGCUGCCAUGGGGUUGGGUGCCAUCACAGGUGGUGAGGAGCCUCAGGCAGGGCUGGGACGUGUCGCUUCAAACAACCCGUCCCGGGAGGCCAUCGCAGUCAGGCAGUCCUUCACCGAGCACUUCUCAGCUGAAGGAGCGGUCUCAUGGCAGGAUUCCGUCUAGUGCACUGCAC